GGAAUCUUGGACAAUGGGGGCAACCCUGAUCCAGCGACGCCGCGUGGGUGAUGAAGGCCUUCGGGUUGUAAAGCCCUUUCGCCGGGGACGAUGAUGACGGUACCCGGUGAAGAAGCACCGGCUAACUCCGUGCCAGCAGCCGCGGUAAGACGGAGGGUGCUAGCGUUGUUCGGAAUUACUGGGCGUAAAGCGCACGUAGGCGGAUCAGAAAGUUGGGGGUGAAAUCCCGGGGCUCAACCCCGGAACGGCCUCCAAAACUCCUGGUCUUGAGUUCGAGAGAGGUGAGUGGAAUUCCGAGUGUAGAGGUGAAAUUCGUAGAUAUUCGGAGGAACACCAGUGGCGAAGGCGGCUCACUGGCUCGAUACUGACGCUGAGGUGCGAAAGUGUGGGGAGCA
RNAcentral lists this ribosomal RNA (395 nucleotides) under uncultured bacterium. RNAcentral's name for it is "bacterial SSU rRNA". It matches the Rfam family "Bacterial small subunit ribosomal RNA", at positions 358 to 770 of the family's 1533-position model. The record is from RNAcentral.